GACGAACGCUGGCGGCGUGCUUAACACAUGCAAGUCGAACGGAAAGGCCCUGCUUUCGUGCGCUGCCCGAGUGGCGAACGGGUGAGUAACACGUGAGUAACCUGCCCUUGACUUUGGGAUAACUUCAGGAAACUGGGGUUAAUACCGUAUAGCAGCUCCUGCUGCAUGGUGGGGGUGGGAACGUUUAGGCGGGUGGGGAUGGACUCGCGGGUGAUCAGCUUGUUGGUUGGGUAGUGGCUUACCAAGGCUUUGGAGGAUAGCCGGCAUGAGAGGGUGACCGGGGACAAGAGUACUGCGAUAGGGACCAGACGCGUACGGGAGGCAACAGUGGCGAAUAUUGCACAGUGGGCGGGAGCCUGAUGAAGCGGCCCCGGGUUCGGGAUGACGGCCUGCUGGUUGUAAACAGCUGUAGCCUGUGACGAAGCGGGAGUGACGGUAAUGGGUAAAGAAGCACCGGCUAACUACGUG
Molecule: ribosomal RNA, 468 nt
Filed under: uncultured bacterium
Lineage: Bacteria
Description: partial 16S ribosomal RNA
Rfam family: Bacterial small subunit ribosomal RNA
Source: RNAcentral